GCAGAAAGAGGGACCCAAGGCCUUUACUGCCACCCCACAGCCCCUGCAAAGCCACACACACCCUGGCAGGAGCCACAAGGGUAGCUGCACAAGGCCAUCGCCACAGAGGCUGCCAGACUUAAAGUGCUUCUGAGGAGUGUAGUGUGGCCGUCAGCCAAUGAAAACUUAGGAUGCGCUCACCACCAGCAGCCAAUCCCAGUGAAGGAUGAGCCGAACUGCCAGGCCUAAUUGCAUCUUGAUUGGUUGUGAUGUUGCUAGGCAGAAAUGAGGUCCCGGAGAUCGCUGCGGGCAAGACCGGAGAGACAGGUGGAUAUGAGAAUAUCUGGAAACAUAGACUCUUGGAUUGUCAUUUUUCUUCCUGAGCUCCUUCAUUCUUAAAGGAUUAAUGGGGUCAGGGGAAUCACUCUUCCUUUUCUCCUCCACAGUGGGACAGAGCCAAAUAGUUACCGUUUCCCCAAAACGCCUUCAGAGAAAUCUGGCUGCCUCGAAGGUGUUCUAAUCCAAAAAAAAAAAAAUAUCCCCCGGAGGUAUUCCAGCCUCAUACUCAGUCUCCCCAUUUAGGAAGUCCUUUCUGAGGCCUCCCUUCAAGCCUCCUGGCUGUAGUUUAUGAACCAUUUUCUCUAACAU
Long non-coding RNA from Bos taurus (domestic cattle), 627 nucleotides. NCBI's taxonomy places the organism in Eukaryota, Metazoa, Chordata, Mammalia, Artiodactyla, Bovidae. The record is from Ensembl.